AUUGAACGCUGGCGGCAGGCCUAACACAUGCAAGUCGAACGGUAACAGGAAGCAGCUUGCUGCUUUGCUGACGAGUGGCGGACGGGUGAGUAAUGUCUGGGAAACUGCCUGAUGGAGGGGGAUAACUACUGGAAACGGUAGCUAAUACCGCAUAACGUCGCAAGACCAAAGAGGGGGACCUUCGGGCCUCUUUCCAUCGGAUGUGCCCAGAUGGGAUUAGCUAGUAGGUGGGGUAACGGCUCACCUAGGCGACGAUCCCUAGCUGGUCUGAGAGGAUGACCAGCCACACUGGAACUGAGACACGGUCCAGACUCCUACGGGAGGCAGCAGUGGGGAAUAUUGCACAAUGGGCGCAAGCCUGAUGCAGCCAUGCCGCGUGUAUGAAGAAGGCCUUCGGGUUGUAAAGUACUUUCAGCGGGGAGGAAGGGAGUAAAGUUAAUACCUUUGCUCAUUGACGUUACCCGCAGAAGAAGCACCGGCUAACUCCGUG
This 490-nucleotide ribosomal RNA is filed under the name uncultured bacterium. RNAcentral's name for it is "partial 16S ribosomal RNA". It matches the Rfam family "Bacterial small subunit ribosomal RNA", at positions 30 to 507 of the family's 1533-position model. The record is from RNAcentral.